Molecule: ribosomal RNA, 478 nt
Filed under: uncultured bacterium
Lineage: Bacteria
Description: partial 16S ribosomal RNA
Rfam family: Bacterial small subunit ribosomal RNA
Source: RNAcentral
GACGAACGCUGGCGGCGUGCUUAACACAUGCAAGUCGAACGGUAAGGCCCUUCGGGGUACACGAGUGGCGAACGGGUGAGUAACACGUGGGUGAUCUGCCCUGCACUUCGGGAUAAGCCUGGGAAACUGGGUCUAAUACCGGAUAGGACUCCGGACUGCAUGGUCUGGGGUGGAAAGCUUUUGCGGUGUGGGAUGGGCCCGCGGCCUAUCAGCUUGUUGGGGGGGUGAUGGCCUAACAAGGCGACGACGGGUAGCCGGCCUGAGAGGGUGACCGGCCACACUGGGACUGAGAGACGGCUCAAACUCCUACGGGAGGCAGCAGUGGGGAAUAGUGAACAAUGGGCGCAAGCCUGAUGCAGCGACGCCGCGUGAGGGAUGACGGCCUUCGGGUUGUAAACCUCUUUCAGCACAGACGAAGCGCAAGUGACGGUAUGUGCAGAAGAAGGACCGGCCAACUACGUGCCAGCCGCCGCCGUAA